AGUGAACGCUGGCGGUAGGCCUAACACAUGCAAGUCGAACGGCAGCACAGUAAGAGCUUGCUCUUACGGGUGGCGAGUGGCGGACGGGUGAGGAAUACAUCGGAAUCUACUUUUUCGUGGGGGAUAACGUAGGGAAACUUACGCUCAUACCGCAUACGACCUACGGGUGAAAGCAGGGGAACUUCGGACCUUGCGGGAUUGAAUGAGCCGAUGUCGGAUUAGCUAGUUGGCGGGGUAAAGGCCCACCAAGGCGACGAUCCGUAGCUGGUCUGAGAGGAUGAUCGGCCACACUGGAACUGGGACACGGUCCAGACUCCUACGGGAGGCAGCAGUGGGGAAUAUUGGACAAUGGGCGCAAGCCUGAUCCAGCCAUACCGCGUGGGUGAAGAAGGCCUUCGGGUUGUAAAGCCCUUUUGUUGGGAAAGAAAAGCAGCAGGUUAAUACCCCGCUGUUCUGACGGUACCCAAAGAAUAAGCACCGGCUAACUUCGUG
RNAcentral lists this ribosomal RNA (492 nucleotides) under uncultured bacterium. RNAcentral describes it as "partial 16S ribosomal RNA". It matches the Rfam family "Bacterial small subunit ribosomal RNA", at positions 29 to 507 of the family's 1533-position model. The record is from RNAcentral.